AUACGGAGGGUGCAAGCGUUAUUCGGAAUCACUGGGCGUAAAGGACGCGUAGGCGGGUUGGCAAGUCAGAUGUGAAAUCCUACAGCUUAUCUGUAGAACUGCAUUUGAAACUGCUAACCUAGAGUAUGGGAGGGGGAGAUGGAAUUAGUGGUGUAGGGGUAAAAUCCGUAGAUAUCACUAGGAAUACCGAAAGCGAAGGCGAUCUCCUGGAACAUAACUGACGCUAAGGCGUGAAAGCGUGGGGAGCAAACAGGAUUAGAAACCCUAGUAGUCC
Molecule: ribosomal RNA, 274 nt
Filed under: uncultured bacterium
Lineage: Bacteria
Description: partial 16S ribosomal RNA
Rfam family: Bacterial small subunit ribosomal RNA
Source: RNAcentral